This 489-nucleotide ribosomal RNA is filed under the name uncultured bacterium. Its description in RNAcentral is "bacterial SSU rRNA". It matches the Rfam family "Bacterial small subunit ribosomal RNA", at positions 42 to 524 of the family's 1533-position model. The record is from RNAcentral.
CCGUGGAUUAGGCAUGUAAGUCGAGCGAGAAUCUGUCAAUUGAUCCUUCGGGUGAUUUUGUCAGAGGACAGCGGCAAACGGCGUAGUAAUGCGUAGGUACGUACCCUCAGAUCGGGGAUAGCCACGGGAAACUGUGGGUAAUACCCGAUGAUGUCUGUGGACCAAAGGUGUGAUUCCGUCUGAGGAGCGGCUUACGUGAUAUUAGCUUGUUGGUGGGGUAACGGCCUACCAAGGCGACGAUGUCUCGGGGGUGUGAGAGCAUGGCCCCCACGACCGGAACUGAGACACUGUCCGGACACCUACGGGUGGCUGCAGUCGAGAAUCUUCCGCAAUGGGCGAAAGCCUGACGGAGCGACGCCGCGUGCAGGAUGAAGGCCCUUGGGUUGUAAACUGCUGUCAGAGGGGAUGAAAUCACGGUGGGCUAUNCCUCCGUGUUGACAGAGCCUCAAAGGAAGCACGGGCUAAGUACGUGCCAGCAGCCGCGGUAAC